UUUUUACGGAGAGUUUGAUCCUGGCUCAGGACGAACGCUGGCGGCGUGCUUAACACAUGCAAGUCGAACGAUGAUGCCCAGCUUGCUGGGUGGAUUAGUGGCGAACGGGUGAGUAACACGUGAGUAACCUGCCCCUGACUCUGGGAUAAGCGUUGGAAACGACGUCUAAUACUGGAUAUGAUCACCGGCCGCAUGGUCUGGUGGUGGAAAGAUUUUUUGGUUGGGGAUGGACUCGCGGCCUAUCAGCUUGUUGGUGAGGUAAUGGCUCACCAAGGCGACGACGGGUAGCCGGCCUGAGAGGGUGACCGGCCACACUGGGACUGAGACACGGCCCAGACUCCUACGGGAGGCAGCAGUGGGGAAUAUUGCACAAUGGGCGAAAGCCUGAUGCAGCAACGCCGCGUGAGGGAUGACGGCCUUCGGGUUGUAAACCUCUUUUAGUAGGGAAGAAGCGACUGAGUUUACUCUGAGUGACGGUACCUGCAGAAAAAGCACCGGCUAACUACGUGCCAGCAGCCGCGGUAAUACGUAGGGUGCAAGCGUUGUCCGGAAUUAUUGGGCGUA
RNAcentral lists this ribosomal RNA (564 nucleotides) under Curtobacterium sp. PhB42. Its description in RNAcentral is "bacterial SSU rRNA". It matches the Rfam family "Bacterial small subunit ribosomal RNA", at positions 1 to 562 of the family's 1533-position model. Lineage: Bacteria; Bacillati; Actinomycetota; Actinomycetes; Micrococcales; Microbacteriaceae. The record is from RNAcentral.